This 489-nucleotide ribosomal RNA is filed under the name uncultured bacterium. Its description in RNAcentral is "partial 16S ribosomal RNA". It matches the Rfam family "Bacterial small subunit ribosomal RNA", at positions 29 to 504 of the family's 1533-position model. The record is from RNAcentral.
AGUGAACGCUGGCGGUAGGCCUAACACAUGCAAGUCGAACGGCAGCACAGUAAGAGCUUGCUCUUACGGGUGGCGAGUGGCGGACGGGUGAGGAAUACAUCGGAAUCUACUUUUUCGUGGGGGAUAACGUAGGGAAACUUACGCUAAUACCGCAUACGACCUACGGGUGAAAGCAGGGGAUCUUCGGACCUUGCGCGAUUGAAUGAGCCGAUGUCGGAUUAGCUAGUUGGCGGGGUAAAGGCCCACCAAGGCGACGAUCCGUAGCUGGUCUGAGAGGAUGAUCAGCCACACUGGAACUGAGACACGGUCCAGACUCCUACGGGAGGCAGCAGUGGGGAAUAUUGGACAAUGGGCGCAAGCCUGAUCCAGCCAUACCGCGUGGGUGAAGAAGGCCUGCGGGUUGUAAAGCCCUUUUGUUGGGAAAGAAAAGCAGCAGGUUAAUACCCCGCUGUUCUGACGGUACCCAAAGAAUAAGCACCGGCUAACUUC